This is an RNA transcript of Micropterus dolomieu (smallmouth bass), 2237 nucleotides long. RefSeq lists it as uncharacterized. Lineage: Eukaryota; Metazoa; Chordata; Actinopteri; Centrarchiformes; Centrarchidae. The transcript is spliced from 8 exons. The record is from RefSeq and is a predicted model, not a curated record.
UUCAGGACCUUGAACAAAGGUAACAUGUACACAUCAUAACUUUUAGCACUGUAUUGCUUUUCUCAAAAUGUUCAUAAUAUAUAUUUGUAAUAUGUUUUUUGCAGCUUACAUGACAUGAGCAUUGUUGAGGAGGACUUGGAGGAAAAUGUUUUCAAUGACCCAAUGAACAGUGUGUAAGUAGUACUUCCUAAUUACAUGUAUUAUUUUUCAGUGAUAUUAUUUGAGAACUUGUUUUUAUCUGAUUGUCAUUAUGUAAAGAAUUGAUUGGGCAGAUAAAGCUUCAUCUUACUCCCUUGAAAGAGAUGAUGGACAGAAUGGUUUCAGCUCUGAUGAAGAGGAUCUUCCACCGAUUUCUAUACGGUGUGUUUGUCAGUCUCAAUUUGCAAUUGUUUUGUGGUGUUUGUUUAAUACAGAUUUUUGUGCCUAAGUAGAAUGGGUAGAGCACUGAAGAAAGCUCACUCUAUCGAUGGACUUCCUUGCCUACACAUGAAGACGCUCCUGAUGAGCGUUCUCCCUGUGAUCAUGACCUUGUUUUCCCAGAACCACAGAAUGUCCGUUGUGAAGAUGACAUCAUAGGUGUCAGAGCCUCCAUAGUGUACGAGAACUGCUUAAGACAACUGGCUACAUUUCUGAUCCUGCCUGUGGAUAAAUGCACUGGCCUUCUGAGAACUGGUGCGCCAUGCAACUCUGUUGCACCCUUUGAGAUCAACAUCACCAAGGGCACAGCAGCUACUAUCGAAUGGAUAUAAUGGACAUAGCUUGUGGAGGUGGAAUUCCCAGCCUGUGAUGAAAUUUGGGAUGCAAACUGGAAAUUCAUGAACAUGGGGAUGGUGAACAGGAAGACUUUUUUCUCCAUUCAGGACACUUACUGCGUCAGUACAAUAAAGGACUUCUGGGAAGAGAGGUUCUUUGUUGCCUUCAAGGGAAAGAUGUUGUUGUCCUAGAAAUGACUCUCCUGGUCACUGCACAAUACUGCAGCUACACCACCAUGGAGAUCAUUCAUGUUGCCACCAUAGACAAGUGGCAAACAUCAUGGAACUCUGUCGUCAUGGAGAAGGAGGGUUUCAUCCAGACUGGACAAGCUUACAUCAGAAAUAAAGCUAGUGGAGAUCUGCACAGAUGCUCAUGCCCAGAUUGGUGCCCUUAUGAGCAGCAAAGAUAAAAGGAGAGUCCAUCCUCUUCAACUGGCUGAAGGACAUACCAUUUUCGGUGGUGUUGCAAGACUGCUGACACACGUGGGCAGUUUCUUGCAUUAUGGGUUGGCAUCCUUCACCAUGUCUGCAACAUUUACACCUGGACUAUGGUAAGUUGCAAACAUGGGCACCUUGAAUCGGAUCAAAUGCGGGGAAAGAUGUGGAUCCAGAGAGACUCCCAGUGCCACAAAGCUUUAGUGGAUAUAGUUCUCGAUAAGAGGUGGCAGAAAGAUGUUCACAACUAUCUGCGAUUCAGAUCAACUGCAGACCUAGAGUCAUUCCAGAAUCAUAUCCUGAUGUAUGCCAGCAAGCCCUACGCUUUUCAGCCACACAGUUUACCCAGUUUUAAGAGUUCUGCUUGCUGCUUUGGACUACAAUUUCCACCGGAACCGACCAACAAUGAAAACGUUGGAUGGCAAAGAGAUUAUUUCAGUUUCAAAAGAUUGUAUAAGAAGAACGGUAGAAGAUACAGCAUAUAUGCCUUGAAAUCUGAAAAAAUCUACGGAUACAUUUCCGAGUUGCAAAGAAGGAUUGUGAAGAACAGACUCACAAGUGGAGUGGGGAUGCCUAGAAGGAGGAGCCUUCUCCCAGAUGACCCCAGACAGCUUGGUUUGGUGCCCCCCGUACCUGCACCAGCCACAUCAGACUUGUUGCAGAGACAAGUCAGAAGAGGUCUAGGACUGUUAUUCCAACCAGCAUCUGAUGUGGAAGGAUCCUCAUAGGAGAUCACCUUGCAUGUGUCCUGGUACUUGUCAGGCAGCAUCACAAGGGAAAGAACUUCAGUUCACUGACAAAGUCAUAGCUUUUACUCUUCAAAAAGAGAAAUUAACAUUAAAUUCUGUUCCUACCCACCUACAGUGGUUAUUUCAUGUUUUUCCAAUUUGUACACGUUUCAUCUUAUUCUGCUAAGUCCACUGUGACCAGCGCAUAUUAUUUUCAUUAGGUAGCCUAAAUUACAGUUUACAAUUUGAACAGUAAUGAUAAGUAAGGCUACAGCUGUCCCCUAUUAUGUAAAUAACAAAAAUUGGUAUUGGAAAUGUUAUG